GUCGAGCGAACUGAUUAGAAGCUUGCUUCUAUGACGUUAGCGGCGGACGGGUGAGUAACACGUGGGCAACCUGCCUGUAAGACUGGGAUAACUUCGGGAAACCGAAGCUAAUACCGGAUAGGAUCUUCUCCUUCAUGGGAGAUGAUUGAAAGAUGGUUUCGGCUAUCACUUACAGAUGGGCCCGCGGUGCAUUAGCUAGUUGGUGAGGUAACGGCUCACCAAGGCAACGAUGCAUAGCCGACCUGAGAGGGUGAUCGGCCACACUGGGACUGAGACACGGCCCAGACUCCUACGGGAGGCAGCAGUAGGGAAUCUUCCGCAAUGGACGAAAGUCUGACGGAGCAACGCCGCGUGAGUGAUGAAGGCUUUCGGGUCGUAAAACUCUGUUGUUAGGGAAGAACAAGUACGAGAGUAACUGCUCGUACCUUGACGGUACCUAACCAGAAAGCCACGGCUAACUACGUGCCAGCAGCCGCGGUAAUACGUAGGUGGCAAGCGUUAUCCGGAAUUAUUGGGCGUAAAGCGCGCGCAGGCGGUUUCUUAAGUCUGAUGUGAAAGCCCACGGCUCAACCGUGGAGGGUCAUUGGAAACUGGGGAACUUGAGUGCAGAAGAGAAAAGCGGAAUUCCACGUGUAGCGGUGAAAUGCGUAGAGAUGUGGAGGAACACCAGUGGCGAAGGCGGCUUUUUGGUCUGUAACUGACG
This 703-nucleotide ribosomal RNA is filed under the name Bacillus sp. FJAT-4715. Its description in RNAcentral is "bacterial SSU rRNA". It matches the Rfam family "Bacterial small subunit ribosomal RNA", at positions 61 to 745 of the family's 1533-position model. The record is from RNAcentral. Lineage: Bacteria; Bacillati; Bacillota; Bacilli; Caryophanales; Bacillaceae.